AGAGUAAGUUGGAUAAUCGCAUGGAAACAUGAGGAAAGUCCGAGCUUCAUAGAGCAUGAUGCUGGUUAACGGCCAGUGAGGGUGACCUUAAGGCAAGUGCAACAGAAAAUUACCGCCCGCAAGGGUAAGGAUGAAAAGGUGAGGUAAGAGCUCACCAGCGGCUAGGCGACUAGUCGGCUGUGUAAACCCCAUUUGAAGCAAGACCAAGCAGGGACCUGGAAUGGCUGCUCGUCAUAUCCCGUGGUAGGUCGCUUGAGCACUUCGGCAACGAUGUGCCUAGAUAGAUGAUUAUCGAAUACAGAACUCGGCUUAUAGAUUUACUCAACCU
This 328-nucleotide RNase P RNA is filed under the name Dethiosulfatibacter aminovorans DSM 17477. RNAcentral describes it as "Bacterial RNase P class A". It matches the Rfam family "Bacterial RNase P class A". Rfam says of the family: Ribonuclease P (RNase P) is a ubiquitous endoribonuclease, found in archaea, bacteria and eukarya as well as chloroplasts and mitochondria. Its best characterised activity is the generation of mature 5'-ends of tRNAs by cleaving the 5'-leader elements of precursor-tRNAs. Lineage: Bacteria; Bacillati; Bacillota; Tissierellia. The record is from Rfam by way of RNAcentral.